CCCCUAGACGUUCUGGGCUGCACGCGCGCUACAAUAAUACGCACAGCGAGUAUCACCGAGCUCGAAAGGGCAAGGUAAACAAUAGAAAAGGUACUGUAAUGGUUAUAGAUCCUUGUAAUUAUUCAUCUUCAACGAGGAAUUCCUAGUAAGUAUGUGUCAUCAUCACGCACUGAUUACGUCCCUGCCCUUUGUACACACCGCCCGUCGCUCCUACCGAUUGGGUGAGCCGAUGAAACUCUCGGAUGUAGGCUAUUCAUAGCCCGCAGAAGAGAUUUGAAUCGUAGCGCUUAGAGGAAGGAGAAGUCGUAACA
This 311-nucleotide ribosomal RNA is filed under the name uncultured eukaryote. RNAcentral describes it as "partial 18S ribosomal RNA". It matches the Rfam family "Eukaryotic small subunit ribosomal RNA", at positions 1470 to 1796 of the family's 1831-position model. The record is from RNAcentral.